UAAAAUUUAAAAUGAAUUUCUAAAAUUUUAUAAGCGAAGAAAAUCAAAAUACAAUUUUUGAAUAUUUAUAUUUUUAAAAUAUGGUUUUUUAAAACAAUAAAAAAAUAUAAAGUUAUUGAAUGUUAAUAAAUAUAUUUUUAUAAUAUAGUUAUAUAGAGUACUUAAAGAACUGAAUCAUCUUAGUAUUUAAAGGACUAAAAUGUAACAACGAUUUUCUUAGUAGCGGCGAGCGAAAAGGAAUUAAAUAUGAUAUUAUGAAUUUCAUAAUAUGUUAAAUUAAAUUUUUAAUUAAAUAAUAUGUAUAACAAUCUUAUAGUUUGUUUGACAUACAUUUUAUUUAGUACUAUCUAAAAAAAUUUUAAUAUUAUAGAAUUUUAUAGUGUACAAGUACUGUGAAGGAAAGAUGAAAAGAUUUUGGAUAAAAAAGUGAAAAGAACAUGAAAUUUUAAAUUUUAUAAAGUUUAUUUAGUUGAAUUUAAAUUUUUAAUUUAAUUAACUGCUUGUUGAAGAAUGAGUCGGCGAGUCAUAAUUAUUUAUAACAAUAUUAAAUAUUAAAUAAUAUAUUAAGAGAUAAAUCGAGUUUAAAAAAAACAAACAUAAUAAAUAAUUAUAGACCCGAACCCAAAUGAUCUAAUUAUGCUCAGAAAAUAUACUGUUUAGUCAGAUAUUGUUCGAACUAGUUGAUGUUGCAAAAUCAUUAGAUGAAGUGUAAUUAGAGGUGAAAUGCUAAUCGAAUUUGGAGCUAGCUGGUUUUCUCUGAAAUGUAUUUAAGUACAGAUAAAUAUAAAUAAAUAAAAGAUAAAGCUCUACAUUGUAUGUGUAUUAGUGUUCCUAUUAAUACGCAUGCUGAGUAAACUAUAAAUUAUUAUUAUUCUAAAUUUACUAUAAGAUGUAACUAUUAGGAUAUAUUUAUAUGACAUUGAGACUGUUAGGGUUAAGCUUAACAUGUCAAGAGGGAAACAGCCCUAAAUAUAAAAUAAGGUUUUUAAAUAUAUACUUAGUCUAAGAAGUUUAAUUAUGAUUAUGGCUAACAUAUAAGCUUUCAAGCGGCUAUUAUUUAAAGAGUGGUAUUGAGCACAUUAGAACAGUAGUUAAAUCUCACAAAUAAUAGAAAAUAAGUAUAUUACCGAAUUUAUAAAUUUAAAUACUCUAAGUACUAAAAUUACUAGUUUAUUUAAAUUGUAAGAGAACGUUUUAUUUAUAUUAUAUAAUUUAUACGGAAGUAUAAAUGAAUCACAAUAUAUAAAUAAAAGUGAUAAUGCCGAUUUAAGUAAUAAAAUAUUAGAUAUAAAUCUAAUACUCCGAAUAUUUAUAGAUUUCCUAUUAAAUGAGUUAAUCAAAUAGGGUUAGUCGAAGUCUAAAAAUAAAUAUUUUAUCUAUUUGAUGAAAAAUAAGUUAAUAUUCUUAUACUAUAUUAAAAUUAAAUUUUAUAUUAAAAUUUAGAAAACAGCAAAUAAUGUUUAUAUAAAACAGUGUUAAUAUUGAUAUAUAUAUUUAUAUUAUUUGUUUUUAACUAACUAGAAAUGUUUAAUUUUAAAAUAUUUUAAUAUAUUCGUAUUAAAUCUGACACAAGUAAAUAGGUAGUAAAAAUACUAAGGAGAUGAAUAAAUUUUCUUUAAGGAACUAGGCAAAAUUAUUCUGUAACUUAGGGAUAAAGAAUGCUUUUAAAGUGUAACAUACUAGGCUCAAACGACUGUUUAUCAAAAACACAGGUUCUUGCUAAAUUUAAUAAUGAUGUAAAAGAACUGACUCCUGCCCAGUUCUAGUAAGUUAAAAAAGGACACUUCUAUUAUGUGUUUUUUUAAGCUCUAGUUAAACGGCGGCUGUAUUCAUAACGGUCCAAAGGUAGCGAAAUUCCUUGUCGGGUAAGUUCCGACCUGCAUGAAAGGAGUAACGAUUUGAGCGCUGUCUUAAAGAAAAUUUCAAUGAAAUAAUAAUGUCUGUGAAGAUACGGACUAUUUACACAAGGACAGAAAGACCCUAUGAAGCUUUACUAUAGUUUAUGAAUAUAAUUUAUAUGUUGUUUAUGAAGAAUAUAUGGUUAAAAUAAACUUUUUAGUUUAUUUUUAUAGAUGGGAUACCAUUUGAACAAUAUAUAAUUAUUAAUAAUGUUAAAUAUAAAAAUUUAAUUAAAUAUUUAUAAAUGUGGUAGUUUUACUGGGGCGGUAUCCUCCUAAAUAGUAACGGAGGAGAACUAAGGGUAUUUAAAUAAUAUCUAUAAAGAUAUUGUUAAAUUUUAAAGAAAAUAAUACCUUAACUGUUAAAUAAACUUAUUAUACAGAAAUUAAUGUUGGUCUUAAUGAUCCGAUAAAUAAAAUUAAUAGAUGUAUUAUCGAUAAACGGAUAAAAGUUACUCUAGGGAUAACAGGCUGAUCUCUCCCGAGAGAUUUGAUAUUGACGGGGAGGUUUGGCACCUCGAUGUCGGCUUAUCGCAUCCUGAAGCUGAAUAAGGUUUCAAGGGUUGGUUUGUUCACCCAAUAAAGCGGUACGUGAGCUGGGUUCAGAACGUCGCAAGACAGUUUGGUCCAUAUCCGGUGUAAAUUAACAAAACAUUGCAACAAUUCUUUUUAGUACGAAAGGAAUAAAAGAACUAUAUUAAUUGUGUACUAGCUAUUUAAUUACAGAAUUAAGUAAUUGUUAGGUAGCAACAUAUAGGUAAAAAAUAAUUGCUGAAAAAAUCUAAGCAAGAAUAUGCGCUUAAAUAUGUUUUAACAAAUAAAAAAUUAUUAAUAAACAAAUAAAUAUAAUGUGAAUAUAGUGUACUUACAGAAAUGUAUUUAGCUGUAUAUUUAUAAAUUUUAUUUUUAAUUAUUUCUAAAUAUUUUAUAA
Molecule: ribosomal RNA, 2829 nt
Filed under: Babesia orientalis
Lineage: Eukaryota; Apicomplexa; Aconoidasida; Piroplasmida; Babesiidae
Description: LSU rRNA
Rfam family: Bacterial large subunit ribosomal RNA
Source: RNAcentral